CAAACGUUUCUUCCGUCAAGUGGGCCCGAGACCACAAUUAAUUCCUCUAUCAUUUCUUUAUAACGUUUUGCCACUAUAUGUAAUGCUAAAAUUGAAAGAAAAAAAUGUUUUCGGUUUGUCGCUAAAAAAAAAAUAGAUUGUUCUUCGCCGAAGUCGACAAAAAAAAGUAGGCAUAGAAUAAAAAAAUAGCCCCCCAUUGAUUCAACAUUGCGAUUAAAUUGUAUGUCAUUCAUUUUUCUGUUUC
RNAcentral lists this long non-coding RNA (244 nucleotides) under Mytilus galloprovincialis (Mediterranean mussel). The record is from RNAcentral. Lineage: Eukaryota; Metazoa; Mollusca; Bivalvia; Mytilida; Mytilidae.